Molecule: unclassified non-coding RNA, 377 nt
Filed under: uncultured Actinomycetes bacterium
Lineage: Bacteria; Bacillati; Actinomycetota; Actinomycetes
Description: uncultured actinobacterium contains 16S-23S intergenic spacer region
Source: RNAcentral
UCCGAGUUGACCCCGGCAGUCUCCUAUGAGUCCCCGGCUUGAACCGCUGGCAACAUAGGACAAGGGUUGCGCUCGUUGCGGGACUUAACCCAACAUCUCACGACACGAGCUGACGACAGCCAUGCACCACCUGCACACCAGCCACAAGGGAACGCCUAUCUCUAGACGCGUCUAGUGCAUGUCAAACCCAGGUAAGGUUUUUCGCGUUGCGUCGAAUUGAACCACAUGCUCCACCGCUUGUGCGGGUCCCCGUCAAUUCCUUUGAGUUUUAGCCUUGCGGCCGUACUCCCCAGGCGGGGCACUUAAUGCGUUAGCUUCGGCACGGAGGGAGUCGACACCCCCCACACCUAGUGCCCAUCGUUUACGGCUAGGACUAC